AGAACGAACGCUGGCGGCGUGCCUAACACAUGCAAGUCGAGCGGGAAAGCCCGCAAGGGUGAGUACAGCGGCGCACGGGUGCGUAACACGUGGGUAAUCUGCCCUGAAGCUCGGAAUAACCUCCCGAAAGGGAAGCUAAUACCGGAUAAGACCACGGGAGCCUCGGCUCCUGCGGGAAAAGGUGGCCUCUGCAUGCAAGCUAUCACUUCAGGAUGAGCCCGCGGCCCAUCAGCUCGUUGGCGGGGUAACGGCCCACCAAGGCUACGACGGGUAGCUGGUCUGAGAGGACGAUCAGCCACACUGGAACUGAGACACGGUCCAGACUCCUACGGGAGGCAGCAGUGGGGAAUCUUGCGCAAUGGGCGAAAGCCUGACGCAGCAACGCCGCGUGUGUGAUGAAGGUCUUCGGAUCGUAAAGCACUGUCGGGAGGGACGAAUAAGGGCCGGGUGAACAAUCCGGUUCGAUGACGGUACCUCCAAAGGAAGCACCGGCUAACUCUGUGCCAGCAGCCGCGGUAAUACAGAGGGUGCAAGCGUUGUUCGGAAUUAUUGGGCGUAAAGCGCGUGUAGGCGGUCUCGCAAGUCGGAUGUGAAAGCCCUCGGCUUAACCGAGGAAGUGCGUUCGAAACUACGAGACUUGAGUACCGGAGAGGGUGGCGGAAUUCCCGGUGUAGAGGUGAAAUUCGUAGAUAUCGGGAGGAACACCAGUGGCGAAGGCGGCCACCUGGACGGCUACUGACGCUGAGACGCGAAAGCGUGGGGAGCAAACAGGAUUAGAUACCCUGGUAGUCCACGCUGUAAACGAUGAGCGCUAGGUGUUGUGGGUGUUGACCCCCGCAGUGCCGCAGCUAACGCAUUAAGCGCUCCGCCUGGGAAGUACGGCCGCAAGGCUAAAACUCAAA
RNAcentral lists this ribosomal RNA (902 nucleotides) under uncultured bacterium. RNAcentral describes it as "bacterial SSU rRNA". It matches the Rfam family "Bacterial small subunit ribosomal RNA", at positions 26 to 905 of the family's 1533-position model. The record is from RNAcentral.